GACGAACGCUGGCGGCGUGCUUAACACAUGCCAGUCGAACGGAAAGGCCCUGCUUUUGUGGGGUGCUCGAGUGGCGAACGGGUGAGUAACACGUGAGUAACCUGCCCUUGACUUUGGGAUAACUUCAGGAAACUGGGGCUAAUACCGGAUAGGAGCUCCUGCUGCAUGGUGGGGGUUGGAAAGUUUCGGCGGUUGGGGAUGGACUCGCGGCUUAUCAGCUUGUUGGUGGGGUAGUGGCUUUCCAAGGCUUUGACGGGUAGCCGGCCUGAGAGGGUGACCGGGAAAAAGGGGACUGAGAGAGGGACCAGAGGGCAAGGGGAGGCAGGAGGGGGGAAGAUUGAAAAAUGGGGGGAAGCGUGAGGAAGAAAAGCGGGGGGCGGGAAGACGGCCUUCGGGGUGAAAAAAGCAUUAGAAUGAGAAGAAGCGGGAGUGACGGUAAUGGGUAAAGAAGCACCGGCUAACUACGUG
RNAcentral lists this ribosomal RNA (468 nucleotides) under uncultured bacterium. RNAcentral describes it as "partial 16S ribosomal RNA". It matches the Rfam family "Bacterial small subunit ribosomal RNA", at positions 28 to 507 of the family's 1533-position model. The record is from RNAcentral.